Molecule: ribosomal RNA, 253 nt
Filed under: uncultured bacterium
Lineage: Bacteria
Description: partial 16S ribosomal RNA
Rfam family: Bacterial small subunit ribosomal RNA
Source: RNAcentral
UACGUAGGGGGCAAGCGUUGUCCGGAAUUAUUGGGCGUAAAGAGCGUGUAGGCGGUCCGGUAAGUCAGCUGUGAAAGUCAAGGGCUCAACCCUUGAAAGCCGGUUGAUACUGUCGGGCUAGAGUCCGGAAGAGGCGAGUGGAAUUCCCGGUGUAGCGGUGAAAUGCGCAGAUAUCAGGAGGAACACCAAUUGCGAAGGCAGCUCGCUGGGACGUGACUGACGCUGAGACGCGAAAGCGUGGGGAGCAAACAGG